Molecule: ribosomal RNA, 449 nt
Filed under: uncultured soil bacterium
Lineage: Bacteria
Description: bacterial SSU rRNA
Rfam family: Bacterial small subunit ribosomal RNA
Source: RNAcentral
UUCGAUUAACGCGAAGAACCUUACCUACCCUUGACAUAGUAUUGCAUUUAGCAGAGAUGUUGAAGAGCCGCGAGGCCGAUAUUACAGGUGCUGCAUGGCUGUCGUCAGCUCGUGUCGUGAGAUGUUGGGUCAAGUCCCGUAACGAGCGCAACCCUUGUUCUUAGUUACCAGCACGUUAAGGUGGGGACUCUAAGAAGACUGCCGGUGACAAACCGGAGGAAGGCGGGGACGACGUCAAGUCAUCAUGGCCCAUACGGGUAGGGCUACACACGUGCUACAAUGGCCGGUACAGAGGGCAGCGAAGCGGAGACGUGGAGCGAAUCCUAGAAAGCUGGUCGUAGUCCGGAUUGAAGUCUGCAACUCGACUUCAUGAAGUCGGAAUCGCUAGUAAUCGCGAAUCAGCAUGUCGCGGUGAAUACGUUCCCGGGCCUUGUCACACCGAAUCACUA